GACAAGACUCCCUCUCCAGGCUCCUCUUCCCACACAGGGUGUCCAGGUCUCUGGAGCUCUUUGCGGGAGAAGGACUUAAGGGGACAAGACUGGCCACAGAUGAUUUGCCUCUGGGUGGAGAAGGGGAGUGUCCUCUGCAGCAUCAGAGGACUCUAUUUUUAGCCUCCUCUCUCUUCCCUCACACCCAUGUUAGCAGGACUCCUAGAGGUGAACACUUUUCACCUCACCCUUAAGUCCUGGCAGUUUCUUUGAAUUUUUGUUUCUGCUUUAGAGUGGAGUGGGGGAGAAAAUACGGUCCUCAAGUUCUGAGAAACUGGAGGGGAAAAGUCACAGGACCACCAACUUCUCUUUUUUUUUUUUUUUUUUUUUUUGAGACGGAGUCUCGCUCUGUCGCCCAGGCUGGAGUGCAGUGGCUCAAUCUCGGCUCACUGCAAGCUCCGCCUCCCGGGUUCACGCCAUUCUCCUGCCUCAGCCUCUCCGAGUAGCUGAGACUACAGGCGCCCGCCACCACGCCCGGCUAAUUUUUUUUUUUUGUAUUUUUAGUAGAGACGGGGUUUCACCGUGGUCUCGAUCUCCUGACCUCGUGAUCCGCCCACCUCGGCCUCCCAAAGUGCUGGGAUUACAAGCGUGAGCCACCGCGCCCGGCCAGGACCACCAACUUCUCUAUGACAUAGCCCAGCAUCCGAGGAAAGUCCUGCAAUAGUGGAGGUGGAGCAGAGGCUAUGAGCUGGGAAGCAAAUGGAGCAGGAGCUGGAGGCUGCCCCAUCCACUCCAAGCCAGAGAACAAGCAGAGGCUGCCACAGGAGAUCCUGGGCAAGUAAUCAGUCACAGCGUCUAGAUUAGCAAUGAAGGAAACGCUGGCCAAAUUAAAAGAUGAAACUUCCAAAAGUGCAAAGAGGAAGAGUCAGAAGGUGAAUAAAUACUCACAGCCGAAGCUCUUCAAAAGACUUCACCGAGUACAGAGGGGAGUUUGGAUCCCGCUGCAGGACUUCCACUUGGUUUGUGUUAUCAACAAGGUUGCUUCUGAUCAGCUUGUUGAGUAAGGACUGGGCAGCUCUGUCCUCUGUCAGGAAAAAGAAAGCAAAGAAUUUUAAAAAGUCCUUGAAACCUACCAGGUGUUUACUCUAAUUCAACUGCCAUUUAUAUUUUAAAUAAUAAUGUACUGAACAUUCAAAUUCAAGGUACAUCAUAGUUUUGACUUAUAAAUUAAAAUAGUUUUAUUAAAGAAAAAAAGUUAUGAUACAUCACCCAUUUAGGCCUCAUAUUCUUCUCCAGACUCUAUUCUAACAGCCCUCUUUUCCUGCAGUUAUCUAUUCCUCCUAUCCAGACCCACAUAUUUAGUCCCCAAUUUGUACUAUAUAUAAACCUAAAGUAAUUCAUGUAACAAUCAC
This is a long non-coding RNA of Symphalangus syndactylus (siamang), 1391 nucleotides long. RefSeq lists it as uncharacterized. NCBI's taxonomy places the organism in Eukaryota, Metazoa, Chordata, Mammalia, Primates, Hylobatidae. The record is from RefSeq and is a predicted model, not a curated record.